GAUGAACGCUAGCUCCAGGCUUAACACAUGCAAGUCGAGGGGAAACGACAUCGAAAGCUUGCUUUUGAUGGGCGUCGACCGGCGCACGGGUGAGUAACGCGUAUCCAACCUGCCCAUCACUUGGGAAUAACCUUGCGAAAGUAAGACUAAUACCCAAUGACAUCCCACGAAGACAUCUGAAUGGGAUUAAAGAUUUAUCGGUGAUGGAUGGGGAUGCGUCUGAUUAGCUUGUUGGCGGGGUAACGGCCCACCAAGGCAACGAUCAGUAGGGGUUCUGAGAGGAAGGUCCCCCACAUUGGAACUGAGACACGGUCCAAACUCCUACGGGAGGCAGCAGUGAGGAAUAUUGGUCAAUGGGCGAGAGCCUGAACCAGCCAAGUAGCGUGCAGGAUGACGGCCCUAUGGGUUGUAAACUGCUUUUAUAAGGGAAUAAAGUGAGUCUCGUGAGACUUUUUGCAUGUACCUUAUGAAUAAGGACCGGCUAAUUCCGUG
Molecule: ribosomal RNA, 492 nt
Filed under: uncultured bacterium
Lineage: Bacteria
Description: partial 16S ribosomal RNA
Rfam family: Bacterial small subunit ribosomal RNA
Source: RNAcentral